This 253-nucleotide ribosomal RNA is filed under the name uncultured bacterium. RNAcentral's name for it is "partial 16S ribosomal RNA". It matches the Rfam family "Bacterial small subunit ribosomal RNA", at positions 524 to 776 of the family's 1533-position model. The record is from RNAcentral.
CACGUAGGGGACGAGCGUUGUCCGGAUUCAUUGGGCGUAAAGCGCGCGUAGGCGGCUCGGAAAGUCGGUCGUGAAAUGCCGGGGCUCAACCCCGGGACUGCGUCCGAUACUUCCGGGCUGGAGGUAGGUAGGGGAGAUCGGAAUUCCUGGUGUAGCGGUGAAAUGCGCAGAUAUCGAGAGGAACACCUGCGGCGAAGGCGGGUUGCUGGGCCGACACUGACGCUGAUGCGCGAAAGCCAGGGGAGCGAACGGG